This 1128-nucleotide long non-coding RNA is filed under the name Citrus sinensis (sweet orange). RNAcentral's name for it is "long non-coding RNA (CSIN_LNC000488)". The record is from RNAcentral. Lineage: Eukaryota; Viridiplantae; Streptophyta; Magnoliopsida; Sapindales; Rutaceae.
UUUCAUUCACCACCAUAAGCACCCAUCCAACACAAUACCUAUAAUAAUAAUUAAGAUUAAUAUUUUCAAAUACUAAUUUGAAGGAAAAUGUCUCUAGUUUCCUUUAGGUUAUGACUUUAGAAUAGGAGAUGAGUCAUAUACACACAUACACAACUUUGAGCCUUUGGACCAUGUGCGGGUUUUAAUUUAUAAUACUAAACCCGCCCGCAACGGAUAAAAUUACCCGCAGUGGGCGGGUUUUGGCAGGUGGGUUUGGACGGGUUUGCGGGUUUGCGGGUACAAUUGUCAUCCCUAGGUGGAAUGCAAAAGUUACAGGAAGUAGGGGUGGGCAUCGGAUCGGAUUUGGAUAGAUCCGAUCCGAUCCGAUCUAAUCCGAACAAAUUUGGAUCGGAUUCGGAUUCUGCUUCAAAUCCGAUCGGAUGUAAUUUGUGCAAUUCGAUCGGAUUUGAUUCGGAUCGGAUCGGAUCGGAUUAAUCCGAACAAUCCGAUCGGAUUGCACUGCUCCUUAAAAAAAAAAAAGAAACAGAAAUUAAAUGAAAAAUUGAAAACUUAAACAGCUAAACCUAAUUCCCAAAUCACAAAACCACCCACGCAACCCAGCCACGCGACCUGACGCACCACGCAACCCAGCCACGCGACCUGACGCACCACGCAACCCAGCCAAACCAACCCACGACCACAAACCACACACACAUGCCACAACCUGACGCACACGACGACUCACGCCAUCGACAACAUAAACGGAACGAACCCAGCCGGAUCUUGAUCAACGUCCAGUUGCCAUUCACGACGAGCAGCUGACGGCGAAAGCAACCUCGCGAUAGCCGACUUGUUCAUUGUGUAAGGUUCCUGUCUUUAUUGCAUGAUUGUCUAAGGAAUUAAAUGUGCAGUCUGUGAUGAGCAAAUCAAGAAGACGAAGUGAAAGGCUGCUGCAGAGAGAUGAGCUCUCGACUUACCUAUAUUUGGAUGUGUAAUUAUCAUAUAACACCCUGAGCUUUUGAUAAUGAAGCUAAUGAAAGAAUUGUGUAAGGACUUGUGUUUCAUUAAUUCUAGAUUUCAUUAAUUUUUGGUAAAAAUUGUCAAAAAGGUUCCAAAUCCGAAUACAAUCCGAACCGAUCUGAAUCCGAA